This 465-nucleotide ribosomal RNA is filed under the name uncultured bacterium. Its description in RNAcentral is "partial 16S ribosomal RNA". It matches the Rfam family "Bacterial small subunit ribosomal RNA", at positions 339 to 795 of the family's 1533-position model. The record is from RNAcentral.
CUACGGGAGGCAGCAGUGAGGAAUUUUGCGCAAUGGGGGAAACCCUGACGCAGCAACGCCGCGUGAGUGAUGAAGGCCUUCGGGUCGUAAAACUCUGUCAAGUGGGAAGAACCUAUGUAAGGUUAAUACCCUUAUGUACUGACGGUACCACUGAAGGAAGCACCGGCUAACUCCGUGCCAGCAGCCGCGGUAAUACGGAGGGUGCAAGCGUUAUUCGGAAUUAUUGGGCGUAAAGGGCGCGCAGGCGGUUUUGUAAGUCAGAUGUGAAAGCCCGGGGCUUAACCUCGGAAGUGCAUUUGAUACUGCAAGACUUGAGUAUGGGAGGGGGAAGUGGAAUUCCUGGUGUAGAGGUGAAAUUCGUAGAUAUCAGGAGGAACACCAGUGGCGAAGGCGACUUCCUGGACCAAUACUGACGCUGAGGCGCGAAGGCGUGGGGAGCAAACAGGAUUAGAUACCCGUGUAGUC